CCCUAAUUUCCUACUUAAAUCUUCUCCCUUUCUUUUUUUUUUUUAUAAAAAAUAGCGACGCUACAGUCGCUUCUCGGGACACUGUCGCUUCACGCAACACAGAGAGAGGCGACCACUAUUUUGUAUCGUAACGCAACAGCUGCUCUGAAGCGACACACCCUCGCCUCGCAUCGCUACAUGCUUUUUGCGCUAUAACGAGUGCUAUUUAUUACAAUGCCUACUUGUUAUGGUUCAUUAGUUUUAGAAUGACAAUUAUCAUAAUACCUUGUUUUAAUUAUCGACAUCUGUUGGUUUUUCUUACUUUUUAUAUUUGAGUCAUUCGAUUUAUUGUUGUGGUCUUAAUAUAUUCUUCUUUAGUUAUUUUCUUUAUGUUUCCUUUUCUGAGAGGCCGAUAUAUAUAGUAUACAUCUAUGAAAUACAGUACUACUUACAACAUGUAGUACAUUUAUCAAGUAGUAAGAUACAUAAUUCUUUUUAUCAAGAUUUAGACAUCAGUUUGUUAAGCUAUUUUUUUAUUUUAUAAAAGCAAGAUUUAGAGCAUCGGUAGUAAGUAUAUGAUAGCCAAUUGUUUAAUUGACAUUCUGUGCAACAAAAGCAUCUCUACUUCAAUAAUCUAGAGGCUCUUUAUUAAUAUUUGCUUUUGCUGUGUAUUGUAUUUUAUUUUGGUAUAAUUUUGAACAAUCACUAGAUUUUCUAUAAGCAUUAUACUUUUUGAACUUUGUGUAUGCUUUGAAUAGAAAUCCUCUUUAACUCAUUCAAUCUAAUCGAUUACAAAUGAAUUGAAUGAGUUAAAGAAAAUUUGUAUUCAAACUAUACCCAAAAGGCAAGAUGCUCAUAGAAUAUCUAGUGUAGUUCCUUAAUAGUAGAGAGAAGAAUUCAGGACAUUGUCUCUGUUUUUUCAAUUUAAGAGUGAAUUGACCAAUUUCAUUUCAAAUUUACACUACAAAAUAGUGUUCUAUUGAGAAAGUGAAGGACACUAAGCAAUUUCAAUACAUAUUCGAGUUAUAUGUAUUGAAAGUCAAGGGUCAAGUCUUUGAAUGUCAGUUUCAUAUUGGAAACUCUCCUCCUCCUCCUCCUCAUCAUCAUCAUCAUCAUCAUCAUCCUCCUCCUUCUCCUCCUCCUUUCUCUACGUUACUAUUUCUUUCCUUCUUUCUGUGCGUUACUGCUGCUAUUUAUCUCAUUGUUGCAUAUAUUCUUCUCAUAUUCUGAUAGACAUGUGUGAAGAAAGACCUUCAAAGCCCAAAAGAAAGACAAGUGCGACAUAUGCAAAACCUAGAACAAUGGCAUCUUUGGAAAAUCAAAUAACGAGUUUGUUUAGCCAAAAUAUGGUGUUCCAGCUAGACAAUCAAAGAAAGAGCUUUCGAAUAUUAUUGAAGAGAAUAUACCACAGUAUCCAGGAGUAGUAGCCCAUGUACAAACUAGAUCAAUCACUUUUGCAAAAUAUGUUGUUCCUGCUAAACAAUUAAACAAAGAGCGUCUGAAUAUCAUUGAAGAGAAUCUGCUACUGCCACAAUAUUCAGGAGUAGCAGCCCAUGUACAAACUAGAUCAACUACUCCUACCACAAAGUAAUAGAUGAACAAGUGGAGAAACAAGUUCAGUUGGAUUCUACAACUCCUACUGUAGAUGAACAAGGCCCUUCUAUCAACCAAGAAAAAGAGAUAGAACAAAGAUGAAAAGUGUACAUGGACGCCAUGAGCGUAAAGUGAUUUUACUUAACAACUUAAAUCAACCCGUUGGUCCUAGUGAUGAAGUUGUGAUAGAGUUUGGAAGAUUCCUCGGCAUAUUGGCAAGGAAUGCGACUCUAUGUCCUCUUGAUAUUUUGGAUUGGAGGAAGAUGGACACAAAAGAGGAUAUAUGUAAAUAUACCAAGGUCUGAACUUCUUAAUUUUCAAUUUUUAGUUAAAAAUCUCAUAUCUUCUGCACUAAUAUAUUUGACAUCAAUUGUAGCAUAAAUAUGAUAUUCCUGAAGCUAGAAAAAAAUAUACUUUAGACUCAGUACAAAUUGCCUGGAGAAAGCACAAGAGUAGAUUGAAAAAAGAUCACUUUCACGCAUAUCACAAUGAUGAAACUUGACUGCAAAAUAUCCCUGAAGAUGUUCCAGCUUCUCAGUUUAAGAAACUCCUUAGGUAUUGGAACUCACAGAAACUCCAGAGAAUAUCCCAAAUUAAUAUUGAUUACCGAAAAAAGUUGAAGAAUCCUCACACUACUGGAAAAAGAAGUUUUGCUUUAGUUCGCUCUAAGUUGGAAAAUGAUAAGAAAACUUCGGAUUCUUUAUCAACAAAGAAAGUCUUUGUAACUACACGAAAAAGGAAAGAUGGGCGAUCAUACAAGUGCUCGGAUGAAGACACAACUAGUAAAAUUGCUGAAAUGGAUGAAAUUGAAGCACAACAAAACGAAAAUGGCAAUGAGUCUGCAGAUGCAUUUGCAUCUGUCAUAGGGUCUGAACAUCCGGGACAUCUGAGAUAGUAUAGAUGAGGGGUUACAAGAACUUCUUUGAGAGAGAAAGUAGGAUGUUUUGAAUACUAUUCAAAGACUACAAAUUAUCUACAAAAAAUGGACGAGAAGAUACAAAGAAUGGAGGAACAAUUUGAGGAACAAAAGGCAACAAUCCGUCAAGAAGUUGUUGCAGAUGUACUUGCAGGACAUCAGCAUUCUGGAAUUGAUAUUGAUGCUAACAUUGUUCUAGCGGCAUUGGGUGAUAAUUCUCAGUGAGAAGCUUCUUCUGCACAGCAGCUACUUUGGAACCAAUCCGUCGUCCAUCUACUGAUAGCAACAAAGAAGGCCAACUCAUUCCAGGUGCAGCGAUUGCGGAUGAAAGCAGUGACGAAGACCUUACUUGAGUGUUGUUGAUCGUUGUUAGACUUUCUAUUAUUAUGUUUUAGGAUAUUUUAGUUUAGAACUUUUUGUAGGCAAACUCAUCUGUUUUGACUUUUGAAUUGUUGACCAAACAAUGUAUCCAUAUUUUAUUUUUGUACAUGGAUAAUGCUAGUUGGAUAUGGUGUAAACAAUUUCAUAGAAUAGGAAAAUAUUUCUCA
Non-coding RNA from Nicotiana tabacum (common tobacco), 3036 nucleotides. NCBI's taxonomy places the organism in Eukaryota, Viridiplantae, Streptophyta, Magnoliopsida, Solanales, Solanaceae. The record is from RefSeq and is a predicted model, not a curated record.